This 255-nucleotide ribosomal RNA is filed under the name uncultured bacterium. RNAcentral's name for it is "partial 16S ribosomal RNA". It matches the Rfam family "Bacterial small subunit ribosomal RNA", at positions 524 to 779 of the family's 1533-position model. The record is from RNAcentral.
UACGAAGGGGGCUAGCGUUGCUCGGAAUCACUGGGCGUAAAGGGUGCGUAGGCGGGUCUUUAAGUCAGGGGUGAAAUCCUGGAGCUCAACUCCAGAACUGCCUUUGAUACUGAAGAUCUUGAGUUCGGGAGAGGUGAGUGGAACUGCGAGUGUAGAGGUGAAAUUCGUAGAUAUUCGCAAGAACACCAGUGGCGAAGGCGCUCACUGGCCCGGUACUGACGCUGAGGUGCGAAAGCGUGGGGAGCAAACAGGGAU